RNAcentral lists this transfer RNA (87 nucleotides) under Caldithrix sp. Its description in RNAcentral is "tRNA-Ser". It matches the Rfam family "tRNA". From Rfam's summary of the family: Transfer RNA (tRNA) molecules are approximately 80 nucleotides in length. Their secondary structure includes four short double-helical elements and three loops (D, anti-codon, and T loops). Further hydrogen bonds mediate the characteristic L-shaped molecular structure. tRNAs have two regions of fundamental functional importance: the anti-codon, which is responsible for specific mRNA codon recognition, and the 3' end, to which the tRNAs corresponding amino acid is attached (by aminoacyl-tRNA synthetases). tRNAs cope with the degeneracy of the genetic code in two manners: having more than one tRNA (with a specific anti-codon) for a particular amino acid; and 'wobble' base-pairing, i.e. permitting non-standard base-pairing at the 3rd anti-codon position. The record is from RNAcentral. Lineage: Bacteria; Pseudomonadati; Calditrichota; Calditrichia; Calditrichales; Calditrichaceae.
GGAGAGGUGCGAGAGCGGUCGAAUCGGCGCGAUUGGAAAUCGCGUGCUCGUUUACGCGGGCCGUGGGUUCGAAUCCCACCCUCUCCG